RNAcentral lists this transfer RNA (73 nucleotides) under Scytonema millei VB511283. RNAcentral describes it as "tRNA-Gln". It matches the Rfam family "tRNA". From Rfam's summary of the family: Transfer RNA (tRNA) molecules are approximately 80 nucleotides in length. Their secondary structure includes four short double-helical elements and three loops (D, anti-codon, and T loops). The record is from RNAcentral. RNAcentral also lists the same sequence under 2 other names. Lineage: Bacteria; Bacillati; Cyanobacteriota; Cyanophyceae; Nostocales; Scytonemataceae.
AGCCCUGUGGUGUAAUUGGCAACACAUCUGAAUUUGGCUCAGAUGACUCCAGGUUCGAGUCCUGGCGGGGCUG